UGCACGAAUGGCGUAAUGAUGGCCAGGCUGUCUCCACCCGAGACUCAGUGAAAUUGAACUCGCUGUGAAGAUGCAGUGUACCCGCGGCAAGACGGAAAGACCCCGUGAACCUUUACUAUAGCUUGACACUGAACAUUGAGCCUUGAUGUGUAGGAUAGGUGGGAGGCUUUGAAGCGUGGACGCCAGUCUGCGUGGAGCCGACCUUGAAAUACCACCCUUUAAUGUUUGAUGUUCUAACGUGGACCCGUAAUCCGGGUUGCGGACAGUGUCUGGUGGGUAGUUUGACUGGGGCGGUCUCCUCCUAAAGAGUAACGGAGGAGCACGAAGGUUGGCUAAUCCUGGUCGGACAUCAGGAGGUUAGUGCAAUGGCAUAAGCCAGCUUGACUGCGAGCGUGACGGCGCGAGCAGGUGCGAAAGCAGGUCAUAGUGAUCCGGUGGUUCUGAAUGGAAGGGCCAUCGCUCAACGGAUAAAAGGUACUCCGGGGAUAACAGGCUGAUACCGCCCAAGAGUUCAUAUCGACGGCGGUGUUUGGCACCUCGAUGUCGGCUCAUCACAUCCUGGGGCUGAAGUAGGUCCCAAGGGUAUGGCUGUUCGCCAUUUAAAGUGGUACGCGAGCUGGGUUUAGAACGUCGUGAGACAGUUCGGUCCCUAUCUGCCGUGGGCGCUGGAGAACUGAGGGGGGCUGCUCCUAGUACGAGAGGACCGGAGUGGACGCAUCACUGGUGUUCGGGUUGUCAUGCCAAUGGCACUGCCCGGUAGCUAAAUGCGGAAGAGAUAAGUGCUGAAAGCAUCUAAGCACGAAACUUGCCCCGA
Molecule: ribosomal RNA, 814 nt
Filed under: Salmonella enterica
Lineage: Bacteria; Pseudomonadati; Pseudomonadota; Gammaproteobacteria; Enterobacterales; Enterobacteriaceae
Description: partial 23S ribosomal RNA
Rfam family: Bacterial large subunit ribosomal RNA
Source: RNAcentral